This is a long non-coding RNA of Acinonyx jubatus (cheetah), 1131 nucleotides long. RefSeq lists it as uncharacterized. NCBI's taxonomy places the organism in Eukaryota, Metazoa, Chordata, Mammalia, Carnivora, Felidae. The record is from RefSeq and is a predicted model, not a curated record. The transcript has 3 exons.
CCUCCCCUCAUACUUGUUAGAAUCGUCACUAUCAAGAAGAUAAGCAAUAGCAAGUGUUGGUGAAGAUGUGGAUAAAAAGGGAACAUUUGUGCACCAUUGGUUGGAAUGUAAAUUGUUUCAACCGCUAUGGAAAACUGCAGGCUGCUCAACAAUUUAAAACUAAAAAUACCAUAUGAACCAGCAAUCCUACUACUGGAUAUUUAUCUGAAGAAAAUGAAAACACUAAUUUAAAAAGAUAUAUGCACCUCAUGUUUAUUGUGGCAUUAUUUACAAAAGCCAAAACAUGGAAAUAACAAAUGUACAUUGAUGGGUGAAUGGAUAAAGCUGAUAUUUUCAUAACAAUGGAACAUUAUUCAGCUAUAAAAUAAUGAAAUCUGGCCAUUUGCAACACAUGGAUAGAACUUGAGGACUUUAUGCCAAAUGAAAUAAAUCAGAUAGAAUAAGAUAAAUACUGUAUGAUCUCAUAUAUGGAGUCUAAAAAAAAAAAAAGAAAAAAAUGAACUGAUAGAUACAGAGGACAGAUUUGUGGUUGCCUGAGGUGGGGUGUGAGGGAAUGAGUAAAGGGGGUCAAAAUAUACAAAUUUCCAAUUAUAAAAUGGGUAAAUCAUGGGAUGUAUAGUAAUGUACAGUAUAGUGAUGACACUUAAUACUCCACUGCAUAUUUGAAAGUAGCUAGGUGAGUGGAUUUUGAAAGUUCUUAUCACAAGAAAAAAAUUAUAAAAAAACAUUAUUUGGAAAAUAUUUCUUAUGUCUUUUAUAUAUCAUCUUUCAUAGAGGAUUUUCUGUUGCUUUUUCUAGGCAUAUGGGGUCCUGCCAGUCCAGAACCACUUUAAAUGAAGUUUGAGAUUUCAGCAUCCUUACAGAUGGUGCAAUGUUGAGCCACAUGUUCAAAAGAGAGCUUGCUAACCUCCAGCUUAUCUUCUAGUCCCACAAAACCACCAAAAGCACUGCUAAGCCUUUCAACUACUCCUGCAGGAAUGGUCUAUAAUACUCUUAGUAUGCUUUGAAUGAAGUAAAUGGAAUUUUGAGAGAAAUGUCUACUAUCUACUUCUACUGGGCAAAAUACUAUGGUGCUACCUGGACAAAGAAAACCAGGAGGCUGCUUACCAUAAUAACAAGUCAGGAUCAAGG